Molecule: long non-coding RNA, 223 nt
Filed under: Lathyrus oleraceus (garden pea)
Lineage: Eukaryota; Viridiplantae; Streptophyta; Magnoliopsida; Fabales; Fabaceae
Description: Pisum sativum (pea) long non-coding RNA (PSAT_LNC001696)
Source: RNAcentral
AAAUAAAGAAAGUAAAAGGAAAAAUGUCAAAGAGGGAUCAAAGCAUCAAACAAAAGUCCAACAAAAAUGUGGAAGGUCAACAAAAUUAAGGGUGAAUUGACCUCAUAAGUUGGGACAAAAAAUGUUUAAAAAUGAUUAAAAUAAAAAUGCAACAAGAAAAUUAAAUGGAAAAUAAAAGAAAAUAUGCAUUAAAUGCAAAAAUGAUUUAAAAAAUGCAAAAAAU